Small nucleolar RNA from Arabidopsis thaliana (thale cress), 108 nucleotides. It matches the Rfam family "Plant small nucleolar RNA R71". Rfam says of the family: R71 is a member of the C/D box family of snoRNAs containing the C (UGAUGA) and D (CUGA) box motifs. Multiple nearly identical copies of this snoRNA have been identified in Arabidopsis, and it is thought to function as a 2'-O-ribose methylation guide for 18S ribosomal RNA. The record is from Rfam. Lineage: Eukaryota; Viridiplantae; Streptophyta; Magnoliopsida; Brassicales; Brassicaceae.
AAACCGUGAUGGGGGCACUGAGUGGUGUAGCUUUUAAACCUCUCCCAAGCUUCACAGAAAGUUUCAUUGUUUUUCUGUGUGAAGCCUGAGAAUCUCGUUCCUCAAUCU